This 460-nucleotide ribosomal RNA is filed under the name uncultured bacterium. RNAcentral's name for it is "partial 16S ribosomal RNA". It matches the Rfam family "Bacterial small subunit ribosomal RNA", at positions 338 to 795 of the family's 1533-position model. The record is from RNAcentral.
CCUACGUGAGGCAGCAGUGAGGAAUAUUGGUCAAUGGGCGCGAGCCUGAACCAGCCAAGUAGCGUGAAGGAUGACUGCUCUAUGAGUUGUAAACUGCUUUUGUACAAGGGUAAACCUGAAUACGUGUAUUCAGCUGAAAGUACUGUACGAAUAAGGAUCGGCUAACUCCGUGCCAGCAGCCGCGGUAAUACGGAGGAUCCAAGCGUUAUCCAGAUUUAUUGGGUUUAAAGGAAGCGUAGAUGGGUUGUUAAGUCAGUUGUGAAAGUUUGCGGCUCAACCGUAAAAUUGCAAUUGAUACUGGCAGUCUUGAGUACAGUUGAGGUAGGCGGAAUUCGUGGUGUAGCGGUGAAAUGCUUAGAUAUCACGAAGAACCCCGAUUGCGAAGGCAGCUUACUAAACUGUGACUGACAUUGAUGCACGAAAGCGUGGGGAUCAAACAGGAUUAGAUACCCGAGUAGUC